RNAcentral lists this ribosomal RNA (253 nucleotides) under uncultured bacterium. Its description in RNAcentral is "partial 16S ribosomal RNA". It matches the Rfam family "Bacterial small subunit ribosomal RNA", at positions 524 to 776 of the family's 1533-position model. The record is from RNAcentral.
UACGGAGGGUGCAAGCGUUAUCCGGAUUCACUGGGUUUAAAGGGUGCGUAGGUGGGCUGGUAAGUCAGUGGUGAAAUCUCCGAGCUUAACUUGGAAACUGCCAUUGAUACUAUCAGUCUUGAAUACCGUGGAGGUUAGCGGAAUAUGUCAUGUAGCGGUGAAAUGCUUAGAUAUGACAUAGAACAUCAAUUGCGAAGGCAGCUGGCUACACGAAUAUUGACACUGAGGCACGAAAGCGUGGGGAUCAAACAGG